GACGAACGCUGGCGGCGUGCCUAAUACAUGCAAGUAGAACGCACAGUUUAUACCGUAGCUUGCUACACCAUAGACUGUGAGUUGCGAACGGGUGAGUAACGCGUAGGUAACCUGCCUGGUAGCGGGGGAUAACUAUUGGAAACGAUAGCUAAUACCGCAUAAUAUUAAUUAUUGCAUGAUAAUUAAUUGAAAGGUGCAAUUGCACCACUACCAGAUGGACCUGCGUUGUAUUAGCUAGUAGGUGAGGUAACGGCUCACCUAGGCGACGAUACAUAGCCGACCUGGGAGGGUGAUCGGCCACACUGGGACUGGGACACGGCCCAGACUCCUACGGGAGGCAGCAGUAGGGAAUCUUCGGCAAGGGACGAAAGUCUGACCGAGCAACGCCGCGUGAGUGAAGAAGGUUUUCGGAUCGUAAAGCUCUGUUGUAAGAGAAGAACGGGUGUGAGAGUGGAAAGUUCACACUGUGACGGUAUCUGACCAGAAAGGGACGGCUAACUACGUG
RNAcentral lists this ribosomal RNA (505 nucleotides) under uncultured bacterium. RNAcentral describes it as "partial 16S ribosomal RNA". It matches the Rfam family "Bacterial small subunit ribosomal RNA", at positions 28 to 507 of the family's 1533-position model. The record is from RNAcentral.